Small nuclear RNA from Diceros bicornis minor, 107 nucleotides. The record is from RefSeq and is a predicted model, not a curated record. Lineage: Eukaryota; Metazoa; Chordata; Mammalia; Perissodactyla; Rhinocerotidae.
GUGCUUCCUUUAGCAGCAUAUAUACUAAAACUGGAAGAAUACAGAGAAGAUCAGCAUGGCCUCUGUGCAAGUGUGACACACAAAUUUGUGAAGCGUUCCAUAUUUUU